AUUGAACGCUGGCGGCAGGCCUAACACAUGCAAGUCGAGCGGAUGAAGGGAGCUUGCUCCUGGAUUCAGCGGCGGACGGGUGAGUAAUGCCUAGGAAUCUGCCUGGUAGUGGGGGAUAACGUCCGGAAACGGGCGCUAAUACCGCAUACGUCCUGAGGGAGAAAGUGGGGGAUCUUCGGACCUCACGCUAUCAGAUGAGCCUAGGUCGGAUUAGCUAGUUGGUAGGGUAAAGGCCUACCAAGGCGACGAUCCGUAACUGGUCUGAGAGGGUGAUCAGUCACACUGGAAAUGAGACACGGUCCAGACUACUACGGGAGGCAGCAGUAGGGAAUCUUCCGCAAUGGGCGAAAGCCUGAAGGAGCAACGACGCGUGAGUGAUGAAGGUCUUCGGAUCGUAAAACUCUGUGAUUAGGGAAGAAAAAAUGUGUAAGUAAAUAUGCACGUCUUGACGGUACCUAAUCAGAAAGCCACGGCUAACUACGUG
This 484-nucleotide ribosomal RNA is filed under the name uncultured bacterium. RNAcentral's name for it is "partial 16S ribosomal RNA". It matches the Rfam family "Bacterial small subunit ribosomal RNA", at positions 30 to 507 of the family's 1533-position model. The record is from RNAcentral.